RNAcentral lists this transfer RNA (72 nucleotides) under Camelus bactrianus (Bactrian camel). It matches the Rfam family "tRNA". Rfam says of the family: Transfer RNA (tRNA) molecules are approximately 80 nucleotides in length. Lineage: Eukaryota; Metazoa; Chordata; Mammalia; Artiodactyla; Camelidae. RNAcentral also lists the same sequence under 2 other names. The record is from Rfam by way of RNAcentral.
GAGGGUAUAGCUCAGUGGAAGAGUUUGGCCUGAGCAUGCAUGAGGUCCUGGGUUCAAUCCCCAGUACCUUCA